RNAcentral lists this transfer RNA (81 nucleotides) under Candidatus Pacearchaeota archaeon. Its description in RNAcentral is "tRNA-Ser". It matches the Rfam family "tRNA". From Rfam's summary of the family: Transfer RNA (tRNA) molecules are approximately 80 nucleotides in length. Their secondary structure includes four short double-helical elements and three loops (D, anti-codon, and T loops). Lineage: Archaea; Nanobdellati. The record is from RNAcentral.
GCCCGCAUCGCAUAAUGGUAUUGCACCAGCUUGGAGAGCUGGGCCCUUCGGGGCCUCCAGGUUCGAUUCCUGGUGCGGGCG